Long non-coding RNA from Capsicum annuum, 1359 nucleotides. RefSeq lists it as uncharacterized. The transcript has 2 exons. NCBI's taxonomy places the organism in Eukaryota, Viridiplantae, Streptophyta, Magnoliopsida, Solanales, Solanaceae. The record is from RefSeq and is a predicted model, not a curated record.
CAAAGAUGUAUGACCCGGCCCAUUCCCAUAUCCCCUUUUCUUCUUCACAAACAGCGUAUAAACACAGAAAAAACAACAUUAAUCAGCAAUCAAACACCAACGACCCGAACCCUACAUUGCAAAAUCUCCAAAUCCCAUACAAACCGAACCUUACCUGACAAUAAUCACCUCAACCCGAUCGUUCUCCCUCUUUUUCGUACCGAUCACAUGUCUCUCACGCGGGUUUGUACGAAAGGGACGCGGAUCUUCUAGAAAAAAUCAAGGUGGCAGCUAGGGCGUGUUUCAAGGGAUUAUUUCACAAAAAUUUGCUUUAAUCCGUUGGGAAUUGGUUGGAUUUGGUACUAUGAAGGUACAUAUGUGCUAAUUUCUGAUUGGGGAAAAGGAAUUUUGUUUCUUCUCAAGGUUCUCAAAUUCAAAAUUACUUCUAGAAUUCCAAUCUGAAGGCAUGAAUAGAGGAGAAUCGCUACUAUCAGAAAAUUUUGAAAAAAUAUCUCUAGGGAGAUUUUCGAAUAUACCCCUCUAUUUUCAACAUUUACUGAGGAGUUGAGCUUCAGGGGAUGUAUUCUUGGAUCCUCUAUAAAUAGCUCUCUUGAGAGCAGAAACGUGGGUCGAAAAAUUCUGGGGUUUUUUUUGGGGCUCUAGGGUUCUAAGUUGGGGGAUUUUGGGGAGGUUCAGAAAUUUUUCUUUUUUUUCUUUCAAGGGUUUGAAAGUUUAGGCUGAAAAUUUUAGGGUUCGAAAUUUCUUGAGUUUGAAGGUUCGAGAUAAAUUUUUGUAAAACUGAAAGGAAAUUCGGGAGUUCUAAAUUCAGGUUGAAUUUUUUUUAGUUGAAAGUGGUUUUCAAAAUCUUUAAGAGAAAAGCCAGAAGACACGCUAUUGGUGGUCGACGUUGCGAGAUUUCGAUAGCGACGAUUUUACUGAUAGCUCGUCGUUCCGUUUGCUGCCCCAAAAGAGAAAUUCGUUGUUAUGAUGUUCCAUAUUCAAAUAGCGGAGAUUCACGAAGAAGUUGGAACUAUAUCAAGAUUAGAAUGACAAGGAAUGUCCGUAUCCGUAUAUAAUAAGUUCGUUCUCUUUCUCUGUGCAUCUCUGUGAUGGGCAAAUCUCCAUAAAAAAGGGACAACUUUCGUGUAGUGGGGGUGCCCAUGUGACUCGUGAUGGGCGUUUGAUUAUUCUAAGUUGAGAUUCUGGUCUUCACGUUGUCAAACAGUCAACAUUCUUUCUUUAGUUCAAUUUGUAGUCAAUUUCUGUUGAAUGUAAUUAAUAUCAGGAACUAUUGGUUGCUAUAUAGCAGUGCUCAUGUAGCGAUUAAAACCUUUUCUUUUCCUUUUCUAAAUUAGUUAUAACUAGAUUAAUUUCUAAACC